This 448-nucleotide ribosomal RNA is filed under the name uncultured prokaryote. RNAcentral's name for it is "bacterial SSU rRNA". It matches the Rfam family "Bacterial small subunit ribosomal RNA", at positions 355 to 796 of the family's 1533-position model. The record is from RNAcentral.
UGGGGAAUCUUGGUCAAUGGGCGCAAGCCUGAACCAGCGAUGCCACGUGAGUGAUGAGGCCUUCGGGUUGUAAAGCUCUGUGGGGAGAGACGAAAAGGUUAAGUCGAAUAGGCUUAAAGAUUGACGGUAUCUCCUUAGCAAGCACCGGCUAACUCUGUGCCAGCAGCCGCGGUAACACAGAGGGUGCAAACGUUGCUCGGAAUUACUGGGCGUAAAGCGCGUGUAGGCGGACAGGCAAGUCAGAAGUGAAAUCCCUGGGCUCAACCCGGGAACUGCUUUUGAAACUGCUUGUCUAGAGUAGUGGAGAGGGAAGUGGAAUUCCUGGUGUAGAGGUGAAAUUCGUAGAUAUCAGGAGGAACACCGGUGGCGAAGGCGGCUUCCUGGACACUAACUGACGCUGAGACGCGAAAGCGUGGGGAGCAAACAGGAUUAGAUACCCCCGUAGUCC